This 377-nucleotide ribosomal RNA is filed under the name uncultured bacterium. RNAcentral's name for it is "bacterial SSU rRNA". It matches the Rfam family "Bacterial small subunit ribosomal RNA", at positions 523 to 898 of the family's 1533-position model. The record is from RNAcentral.
AUACGUAGGUGGCGAGCGUUGUCCGGAAUUACUGGGUGUAAAGGGCGUGUAGGCGGGACUGCAAGUCAGAUGUGAAAUACCGGGGCUCAACCCCGGGGCUGCAUUUGAAACUGUAGUUCUUGAGUGCAGGAGAGGAAAGCGGUAUUCCUAGUGUAGCGGUGAAAUGCGUAGAUAUUAGGAGGAACACCAGUGGCGAAGGCGGCUUUCUGGACUGUAACUGACGCUGAGGCGCGAAAGCGUGGGGAGCGAACAGGAUUAGAUACCCUGGUAGUCCACGCCGUAAACGAUGGAUACUAGGUGUUGGGGGUAUCGACCCCCUCAGUGCCGGAGUUAACACAAUAAGUAUCCCACCUGGGGAGUACGGCCGCAAGGUUGAA